Molecule: ribosomal RNA, 2188 nt
Filed under: Clostridioides difficile
Lineage: Bacteria; Bacillati; Bacillota; Clostridia; Peptostreptococcales; Peptostreptococcaceae
Description: bacterial LSU rRNA
Rfam family: Bacterial large subunit ribosomal RNA
Source: RNAcentral
UCAAGUUAUUAAGGGUGCAGGGCGGAUGCCUUGGCACUAGGAGCCGAUGAAGGACGUGAUAAGCUGCGAUAAGCUUCGGGGAGUUGCACGUAAACUUUGAUCCGAAGAUUUCCGAAUGAGGAAACUCACUUAGAGUAAUGUCUAAGUAUCAUUAAGUGAAUACAUAGCUUAAUGAGGGGAACUCAGGGAACUGAAACAUCUAAGUACCUGAAGGAAGAGAAAGAAAUUCGAUUCCGUAAGUAGCGGCGAGCGAACGCGGAUUAGCCCAAACCAAUAAAGUUUUCUUUAUUGGGGUUGCGGACAUAUCAUAACGAAGAGGUAUCGUAAUUGAAGAGGUUUGGAAAGACCCACCACAGAAGGUAAUAGUCCUGUAUGUUAAACGAGAAGACUUCAGAUAUGAUCCAGAGUACCACGGGACACGUGAAACCCUGUGGGAAGCAGGAGGGACCACCCUCCAAGGCUAAAUACUACCUAGUGACCGAUAGCGUAUAGUACCGUGAGGGAAAGGUGAAAAGAACCCCGGGAGGGGAGUGAAAUAGAACCUGAAACCCUGCACUUACAAGCUGUGGAAGCACAUUUCUUGUGUGACCGCGUACUUUUUGUAGAACGGGCCAACGAGUUACGUUAAGUAGCAAGGUUAAGCACUUAAGGUGCGGAGCCGUAGCGAAAGCGAGUUUUAACUGAGCGUUCAGUUACUUGACGUAGACCCGAAACCGGGCGACCUACCCAUGAGCAGGAUGAAGCGAAAGUAAAAUUUCGUGGAGGUCCGAACCCACGAGCGUUGAAAAGCUCGGGGAUGACUUGUGGGUAGCGGUGAAAUUCCAAUCGAGCCCGGAGAUAGCUGGUUCUCCCCGAAAUAGCUUUAGGGCUAGCCUCAAGGUGAGAGAUACGGAGGUAGAGCACUGAAUGUCCUAGGGGGUAUUGCACCUACCGAAGACUAUCAAACUCCGAAUGCCGUCAUCUUAUACUUGGGAGUCAGACUGUGGGUGAUAAGAUUCAUAGUCGAAAGGGCAACAGCCCAGAUCGUCAGCUAAGGUCCCUAAAUGUAAGUUAAGUGGUAAAGGAUGUGGGAUUGCACAGACAACCAGGAUGUUGGCUUAGAAGCAGCCACUCAUUCAAAGAGUGCGUAAUAGCUCACUGGUCGAGUGAUCCUGCGCCGAAGAUUUCCGGGGCUAAAACUUACUACCGAAGCUACGGCAUCAGUAAUGAUGGGUAGGGGAGCUUCCCAUACGGGUUGAAGCAUGACCGUAAGGACAUGUGGACAGUAUGGGAGUGAGAAUGUUGGCAUGAGUAGCGAGAUGUGGGUGAGAAUCCCACAGGCCGUAAACCCAAGGUUUCCAGGGGAAGGUUCGUCCGCCCUGGGUUAGUCGGGACCUAAGCUGAGGCCGAAAGGCGUAGGUGAUGGACAACAGGUUGAUAUUCCUGUACUACCGAUAACCGUUUGAGAGAAGGGAUGACACAGUAGGAUAAGCUAAGCACACUGUUGGUUAUGUGUGCCCAAGCAUUGAGGCAGUCAAAGUAGGCAAAUCCGCUUUGAUAAUGCUGGGAUGUGAUGGGGAGCGAAAUUUAGUAGCGAAGUAGCUGAUUUCACACUGUCAAGAAAAGUCUCUAUCGAGGUUAAAGGUACCCGUACCGCAAACCGACACAGGUGGGUGAGGAGAGUAUCCUAAGGCCAGCGAGAGAACUGUUGUUAAGGAACUCGGCAAAAUGACCCCGUAACUUAGGGAUAAGGGGUGCCACCAUCAGGUGGCCGCAGAGAAUAGGCCCAAGCGACUGUUUACCAAAAACAUAGGUUUCUGCUAAGUCGCAAGACGAUGUAUAGGAGCUGACGCCUGCCCGGUGCUGGAAGGUUAAGGGGAUCUGUUAGAGCAAUCGAAGCAGUGAACUUAAGCCCCAGUAAACGGCGGCCGUAACUAUAACGGUCCUAAGGUAGCGAAAUUCCUUGUCGGGUAAGUUCCGACCCGCACGAAAGGCGUAACGAUUUGGGCACUGUCUCAACAACAGACUCGGUGAAAUUGUAAUUCCGGUGAAGAUGCCGGAUACCUGCGACAGGACGGAAAGACCCCAUGGAGCUUUACUGUAGCUUGACAUUGGGUCUUGGUACUACAUGUACAGGAUAGGUGGGAGGCUUUGAAACCAGGACGCCAGUUUUGGCGGAGCCAUCCUUGGGAUACCACCCUUGUAGUAC